This 562-nucleotide ribosomal RNA is filed under the name Saccharomyces cerevisiae (brewer's yeast). Its description in RNAcentral is "LSU rRNA". It matches the Rfam family "Eukaryotic large subunit ribosomal RNA", at positions 69 to 645 of the family's 3401-position model. Lineage: Eukaryota; Fungi; Ascomycota; Saccharomycetes; Saccharomycetales; Saccharomycetaceae. The record is from RNAcentral.
ACGGGAUUGCCUUAGUAACGGCGAGUGAAGCGGCAAAAGCUCAAAUUUGAAAUCUGGUACCUUCGGUGCCCGAGUUGUAAUUUGGAGAGGGCAACUUUGGGGCCGUUCCUUGUCUAUGUUCCUUGGAACAGGACGUCAUAGAGGGUGAGAAUCCCGUGUGGCGAGGAGUGCGGUUCUUUGUAGAGUGCCUUCGAAGAGUCGAGUUGUUUGGGAAUGCAGCUCUAAGUGGGUGGUAAAUUCCAUCUAAAGCUAAAUAUUGGCGAGAGACCGAUAGCGAACAAGUACAGUGAUGGAAAGAUGAAAAGAACUUUGAAAAGAGAGUGAAAAAGUACGUGAAAUUGUUGAAAGGGAAGGGCAUUUGAUCAGACAUGGUGUUUUGUGCCCUCUGCUCCUUGUGGGUAGGGGAAUCUCGCAUUUCACUGGGCCAGCAUCAGUUUUGGUGGCAGGAUAAAUCCAUAGGAAUGUAGCUUGCCUCGGUAAGUAUUAUAGCCUGUGGGAAUACUGCCAGCUGGGACUGAGGACUGCGACGUAAGUCAAGGAUGCUGGCAUAAUGGUUAUAUGC